RNAcentral lists this ribosomal RNA (577 nucleotides) under uncultured bacterium. Its description in RNAcentral is "bacterial SSU rRNA". It matches the Rfam family "Bacterial small subunit ribosomal RNA", at positions 535 to 1109 of the family's 1533-position model. The record is from RNAcentral.
AGAGCGUUAUCCGGAUUUACUGGGCGUAAAGCGCGUGCAGGCGGUCCAGCAAGUUGGAUGUGAAAGCUCCCGGCUUAACUGGGAGAGGUCGUUCAAUACUACUGGACUUGAGAGUGGUACAGGGAGGUGGAAUUCCGGGUGUAGUGGUGAAAUGCGUAGAUAUCCGGAGGAACACCAGUGGCGAAAGCGGCCUCCUGGACCACUUCUGACGCUCAGACGCGAAAGCUAGGGUAGCGAACGGGAUUAGAGACCCCGGUAGUCCUAGCCGUAAACGAUGUAGACUUGGCGUUGGUGGGUUCAAAUCCAUCAGUGCCGAAGCUAACGCGAUAAGUCUACCGCCUGGGGACUACGGCCGCAAGGUUAAAACUCAAAGGAAUUGACGGGGCCCCGCACAAGCAGCGGAGCGUGUGGUUUAAUUCGAUGAUACACGAAGAACCUUACCAGGGUUUGACAUGCAAGUGGUAGGGAUCCGAAAGGUGACCGACCCUUCGGGGAGCUUGCACAGGUGCUGCAUGGCUGUCGUCAGCUCGUGUCGUGAGAUGUUCGGUUAAGUCCGCUAACGAGCGCAACCCUCGCU